GACGAACGCUGGCGGCGUGCUUAACACAUGCAAGUCGAACGCUGAAGCUCAGCUUUUGUUGGGUGGAUGAGUGGCGAACGGGUGAGUAACACGUGAGUAACCUGCCCCCUUCUUUGGGAUAACGCCCGGAAACGGGUGCUAAUACUGGAUAUUCACUGGUCUUCGCAUGGGGGUUGGUGGAAAGGGUUUUUCUGGUGGGGGAUGGGCUCGCGGCCUAUCAGCUUGUUGGUGGGGUGAUGGCCUACCAAGGCUUUGACGGGUAGCCGGCCUGAGAGGGUGACCGGUCACAUUGGGACUGAGAUACGGCCCAGACUCCUACGGGAGGCAGCAGUGGGGAAUAUUGCACAAUGGGCGCAAGCCUGAUGCAGCGCCGCCGCGUGAGGGAUGGAGGCCUUCGGGUUGUGAACCUCUUUCGCUCAUGGUCAAGCCGCAACAAUGGUUGUGGUGAGGGUAGUGGGUAAAGAAGCGCCGGCUAGCUACGUG
This 483-nucleotide ribosomal RNA is filed under the name uncultured bacterium. RNAcentral's name for it is "partial 16S ribosomal RNA". It matches the Rfam family "Bacterial small subunit ribosomal RNA", at positions 28 to 507 of the family's 1533-position model. The record is from RNAcentral.